UACGUAGGGGGCAAGCGUUGUCCGGAUUUAUUGGGCGUAAAGAGCGUGUAGGCGGCCAUUCAGGUCAGCUGUGAAAACUCGAGGCUCAACCUCGAGACGUCGGUUGAAACCGUUUGGCUAGAGUCCGGAAGGGGAGAGUGGAAUUCCCGGUGUAGCGGUGAAAUGCGCAGAUAUCGGGAAGAACACCCGUGGCGAAGGCGGCUCUCUGGGACGGUACUGACGCUGAGACGCGAAAGCGUGGGGAGCGAACAGG
RNAcentral lists this ribosomal RNA (253 nucleotides) under uncultured bacterium. Its description in RNAcentral is "partial 16S ribosomal RNA". It matches the Rfam family "Bacterial small subunit ribosomal RNA", at positions 524 to 776 of the family's 1533-position model. The record is from RNAcentral.